UACGGGGGGGGCAAGCGUUGUUCGGAAUUACUGGGCGUAAAGGGCUCGUAGGUGGCCAACUAAGUCAGACGUGAAAUCCCUCGGCUUAACCGGGGAACUGCGUCUGAUACUGGAUGGCUUGAGUUCGGGAGAGGGAUGCGGAAUUCCAGGUGUAGCGGUGAAAUGCGUAGAUAUUGGGAGGAACACCAGUGGCGAAGGCGGCUCACUGGACCGGAACUGACGCUGAGGAGCGAAAGCGUGGGGAGCAAACAGG
Molecule: ribosomal RNA, 253 nt
Filed under: uncultured bacterium
Lineage: Bacteria
Description: partial 16S ribosomal RNA
Rfam family: Bacterial small subunit ribosomal RNA
Source: RNAcentral